UCGAGAAUCUUCGGCAAUGGGCGAAAGCCUGACCGAGCGACGCCGCGUGCGGGAUGAAGGCCUUCGGGUUGUAAACCGCUGUCAGUGGGGAGGAAAUUCUGGAGGGUUCUCCCUUCAGUUUGACCUAUCCGCAGAGGAAGUCCGGGCUAAGUUCGUGCCAGCAGCCGCGGUAACACGAACCGGACGAACGUUAUUCGGAAUCACUGGGCUUAAAGGGUGCGUAGGCGGCCUGGCAAGUUGGGUGUGAAAUCCCUCGGCUUAACCGAGGAAUUGCGCUCAAAACUGCCGGGCUUGAGGGAGUUAGAGGUGAGCGGAACUUAGGGUGGAGCGGUGAAAUGCGUUGAUAUCCUAAGGAACACCAGUGGCGAAAGCGGCUCACUGGAGCUCUUCUGACGCUGAGGCACGAAAGCUAGGGGAGCGAACGGGAUUAGAUACCCCCGGUAGUCCUAGCCGUAAACGAUGAGCACUGGAUCGGAGGACACUCCAUAGUCUUCUGGUCGUAGCGAAAGUGUUAAG
This 516-nucleotide ribosomal RNA is filed under the name uncultured Planctomycetota bacterium. Its description in RNAcentral is "bacterial SSU rRNA". It matches the Rfam family "Bacterial small subunit ribosomal RNA", at positions 355 to 864 of the family's 1533-position model. Lineage: Bacteria; Pseudomonadati; Planctomycetota. The record is from RNAcentral.